This is a long non-coding RNA of Eublepharis macularius, 310 nucleotides long. RefSeq lists it as uncharacterized. The transcript is spliced from 3 exons. The record is from RefSeq and is a predicted model, not a curated record. Lineage: Eukaryota; Metazoa; Chordata; Lepidosauria; Squamata; Eublepharidae.
UGUAAAAAGCUAAUAAUGUGAUAUUUUUUUCCUUGACUCCAGAAAAUAACUCAACAUCGUCCACGGAUGUAGCCGAUGAUGACCUUGACCGCACCAUAGAUGGACUGGAAGACAAGGAGAACAAUCCCACCAGUGCCAGUGCUGAGGAUGACGCGGACAGUGAAUCUGACCUGCCAAUGGCCCAUCGCUUGCGCGACAACAAUGGAAGAUUGAACGCAUGUUUGGCAGAACUUUCUCCGGGGACAAGGUUAAACCAGAUCAGAAACAGGAAGAGGCGUAACGCGGCACUAUAUGGCGUGGCUGACCAAAU